RNAcentral lists this transfer RNA (63 nucleotides) under Sinocentrus brevicornis. RNAcentral describes it as "tRNA-Tyr". Lineage: Eukaryota; Metazoa; Arthropoda; Insecta; Hemiptera; Membracidae. The record is from RNAcentral.
AUUGGGGUGACUGAUUAAAGUAUUAAAUUGUAAAUUUAUAAAUGAAUUUUAUUUCUCUCAAUA